CGGGGUUCAGGUUGCGUUCGUGCGUAUGAUGCUGGUCUCAUCGUAGCACGGGACCAUCCUGGUGGCGAGUGGCGAACGGGUGAGUAAUACAUCGGAACGUGCCCUGUCGUGGGGGAUAACUAGUCGAAAGAUUAGCUAAUACCGCAUACGACCUGAGGGUGAAAGCGGGGGACCGUAAGGCCUCGCGCGAUAGGAGCGGCCGAUGUCUGAUUAGCUAGUUGGUGGGGUAAAGGCCCACCAAGGCGACGAUCAGUAGCUGGUCUGAGAGGACGAUCAGCCACACUGGGACUGAGACACGGCCCAGACUCCUACGGGAGGCAGCAGUGGGGAAUUUUGGACAAUGGGGGCAACCCUGAUCCAGCAAUGCCGCGUGUGUGAAGAAGGCCUUCGGGUUGUAAAGCACUUUUGUCCGGAAAGAAAUCCCCUGCUCUAAUACAGCGGGGGGAUGACGGUACCGGAAGAAUAAGCACCGGCUAACUACGUGCCAGCAGCCGCGGUAAUACGUAGGGUGCGAGCGUUAAUCGGAAUUACUGGGCGUAAAGCGUGCGCAGGCGGUUUUGUAAGACAGGCGUGAAAUCCCCGAGCUCAACUUGGGAAUGGCGCUUGUGACUGCAAGGCUAGAGUAUGUCAGAGGGGGGUAGAAUUCCACGUGUAGCAGUGAAAUGCGUAGAGAUGUGGAGGAAUACCGAUGGCGAAGGCAGCCCCCUGGGACGUCACUGACGCUCAUGCACGAAAGCGUGGGGAGCAAACAGGAUUAGAUACCCUGGUAGUCCACGCCCUAAACGAUGUCAACUAGUUGUUGGGGAUUCAUUUCUUCAGUAACGUAACUAACGCGUGAAGUUGACCGCCUGGGGAGUACGGUCGCAAGAUUAAACUCAAAGGAAUUGACGGGGACCCGCACAAGCGGUGGAUGAUGUGGAUUAAUUCCAUGCACGCGAAAAACCUUACCUACCCUUGACAUGCCACUAACGAACCAUGAUGCUUCCGUGCCCGAAAGGGAAAGUGGACACAGGUGCUGCAUGGCUGUCGUCAGCCUCUGGUCGUGAGAUGUUGGGGUUAAUUCCCGCAACGAGCGCACCCUUGGCUUUAGUUGCUACCCAAGAGCAUCCUGAAAAAUGCCGGUGAACAAACGGGAGGAAG
Molecule: ribosomal RNA, 1140 nt
Filed under: Cupriavidus basilensis
Lineage: Bacteria; Pseudomonadati; Pseudomonadota; Betaproteobacteria; Burkholderiales; Burkholderiaceae
Description: bacterial SSU rRNA
Rfam family: Bacterial small subunit ribosomal RNA
Source: RNAcentral